RNAcentral lists this ribosomal RNA (305 nucleotides) under uncultured bacterium. RNAcentral describes it as "bacterial SSU rRNA". It matches the Rfam family "Bacterial small subunit ribosomal RNA", at positions 338 to 660 of the family's 1533-position model. The record is from RNAcentral.
CCUACGGGACGCAGCAGUGGGGAAUAUUGCACAAUGGGGGAAACCCUGAUGCAGCGACGCCGCGUGAAGGAAGAAGUAUUUCGGUAUGUAAACUUCUAUCAGCAGGGAAGAAAAUGACGGUACCUGACUAAGAAGCCCCGGCUAACUACAUGCCAGCAGCCGCGGUAAUACGUAGGGGGCAAGCGUUAUCCGGAUUUAUUGGGUGUAAAGGGUGCGUAGACGGGAAGGCAAGUUGGUUGUGAAAUCCCUCGGCUUAACUGAGGAACUGCAACCAAAACUAUCUUUCUUGAGUGCUGGAGAGGAAA